This 1691-nucleotide long non-coding RNA is filed under the name Canis lupus familiaris (dog). RNAcentral's name for it is "lncRNA (ENSCAFG00030006439.1)". Lineage: Eukaryota; Metazoa; Chordata; Mammalia; Carnivora; Canidae. The record is from RNAcentral.
GCUGAGGUCAUUGGGGGCACGGACUCCACCUCCCAUCUUCUCCCUGGCUCCCAAAUUGAGUUCCCAGCCUGAACUGGAAGGCUGCCCUCCUCUGAGUUACAGGUCUGUGCUCCCUGCCUGCACCGAGGGGCCUCAGAAAGGUCCCUCUCUUAUCUCCCUGCCAGCACCAGGCCCCAGAGGCCCACGCCAGCCCCCGCUAGAGCUGGCCUCGAGUGUCAGGGGGCCGAGGUGGCAACCUCCUUGCACGGAGCUUUUCCAGAGAAUUCAUCACAAGUCCACAUUCAAUUAGGGAGAGCGCGCUGGAUGAGACAAUGGUCCAAACUCCUUGUUAAGUAACAGCCCUAAUUGAUGACAGGGAUGGUGCAGUGGCUUGGAAGCCAGCUCAGAUUGUGUUUUUAAAAUUUUCCUUUCUCCCGGGCUGCCUGCCAGAGCUCCAUGGCACGGUUCUUGAGGAGAACAAAGGAGGCUUUGAAAAUCUUUCUCCCCCUCCUUCAAAUGCUUAUCUGAAAGGACAUCUUUUUCCCCUUAGUCGCUGCAAUCAUAAAAGCACAGGUGAUAAACUGCUUCUUUGUAAUCAUCAAUUGUGAAGGUUUCCUCCCCCCAAAAGCAGGAAUCUUGGCGGCAGCAAGGUAGAGAGGACCAUCUUGGCGCCCACACUGAUGUCUAUCGAGCCUCCAGAAAGGAAAGGGAGGGGGAAAUGAACUUUGUUCAGUGACAACUUUUAUCUCCGGGUCUCGGGCUGCUGAAAUGUCAAGCCGGGGCUAGAUGGGCUCUCCUGACAGCGUUGCUGCACGGAGGCUGCCUCCCAGCCCCAGGGGAUGCAGGGCUGCGGUGGGUGGUGGUGGUGGUGGGGGGUGUUGACUAUAAGUCAACCGAAUACAUCUUGAAUUCUCGAAGCUGGAGUUCGGGACUUGUUGCGUCUCUUCUGGAGAGGAAGGCUGCAGAGUGGAGCCAUCGGAUCUCCUGCUUGCAAUGACCUUGAGAAACUGUCCCCGAAAGGACAGUGCCUAAGCCCAUUUGAGGGGAGAAUCUGUCUGGUUUUUCAACUCCCCAGUUUGAGGUCCAUAGAAGCCGGAAGCACUUUGUUCCAGAAUACAUUCGUCAACUCCAGAGAGACCACACCCUUGGGGCCGGAUGGAGAAGAUGGGACCGUGUUCUCUUGGAGAGCCCGGCUAGUAGGCCGAUUGGCUAGAGUUGAUUCCCAUGAGCAUUGCUGAAGUUGGGACAAACUCAAUUUUAAGUUAAGUGGAAAUAUUUUUAUUUGAGUUAAUGUACAUUGAAUCUGGUAAACACACAGAGUAUAUUACUACGCACUCUGGAAAUGUGCAGUCCGAUCAGCAAACAGAUUAGUUUUAAGUGAAAAGACACUGGCAGGCGCUUAAAUUCAUUGACUUGUUGAGAACGUCUAGAUUUGGAUACAAAUGCACUGGAACGCUACAUCAGUUUGGUGUCUCAGCCCAUCCGCACGGAGAAGCUAUUGAUUUUAGUUGAUAUGCAUUGAUUCCCAGAAAACAGGACGGCUUUUGAAAAUGAACUUCCAGUAAUUUCAGGGAGAAGCUGGCGCGUUUGUCUCCACGCGAGGCUGACUUGUUUUGUUAAACGUGUCUCUACGCCUCGAAGGAACAGAGCAGCAGACAAAUAUCUUCGUAUGAAUUAAAAUGCAUUGAUUCUUGGAGGGAAAUGAUGGUCUC